RNAcentral lists this ribosomal RNA (297 nucleotides) under uncultured bacterium. RNAcentral's name for it is "partial 16S ribosomal RNA". It matches the Rfam family "Bacterial small subunit ribosomal RNA", at positions 28 to 322 of the family's 1533-position model. The record is from RNAcentral.
GACGAACGUUGGCGGCGUGCUUAAUACAUGCAAGUCAACUGAAGCAGAGGUAGUAAUAUCUCUGUGGAGGUGGCGCACGGGUGAGUAACACGUAGGUAAUCUGCCUUCAGGUCUGACAUAACCCCGAGAAAUCGGGGCUAAUAGCAGAUGAUGCAGCGGCUUGACAUCAAGACAGUUGUUAAAGCUUCGGCGCCUGAAGAUGAGCCUGCGUCUGAUUAGCUAGUUGGCGGAGUAACAGCCCACCAAGGCUACGAUCAGUAGCUGGUCUGAGAGGAUGAUCAGCCACACUGGAACUGA